Puntigrus tetrazona (Sumatra barb) is the source of this 497-nucleotide long non-coding RNA. RefSeq lists it as uncharacterized. The record is from RefSeq and is a predicted model, not a curated record. NCBI's taxonomy places the organism in Eukaryota, Metazoa, Chordata, Actinopteri, Cypriniformes, Cyprinidae. The transcript is spliced from 3 exons.
CGUCGGUCAGCUCUGACUUGGAAGUUGGACAGGGUUUGCCACAGCGUAUUACACACCCCAUCCAACAGCCCUCUCCCACAGCCCUCCCGGCACCGAAAGCAGCAUCCACAGAACAGGUGGAAAUUUCUCCUGGAUCUAACGUAUUCAUUGACAGACUGGCUUGGGCAGUGGCACAGAAUGCGAACUCUGCCUCCUGUUUUGUGAGAACACUCCUGACAGCAGUGUUCCCAAUUGAUGUGCUCCUCGUGAGCAAUCUUCGAGGAACAUCCAAGGAUUCUGGACCACAACGUCAGGCUCUUGACAAAAUAAAAGUGGAUGCUAUCUACAGAGCAACAUUGCAAAAGUGGCCUCACGUGGUGCCCUCCAGCAUUGGUGCAGCCAUCAAUGCCAAAUUAACAGAAAUAAGAGGAAAGAAAAAAACACAAAAACAUUCGGAAACCUUGAUGCUCUUUGAUAACUGAUGGCUAUGACAGUGUGUAUUUACUGUUGUAUCAACU